This is a non-coding RNA of Pogona vitticeps (central bearded dragon), 610 nucleotides long. The record is from RefSeq and is a predicted model, not a curated record. Lineage: Eukaryota; Metazoa; Chordata; Lepidosauria; Squamata; Agamidae.
UCGGAGCCAAGGAGGUCCUGGAAGGAAAAAAAUCAUCAUCCUUUCCAUGGCUUCCCCAACGCCACCCAGACCGACCGACCGAGGUUCAGCGCAGGAAGAAGAGACACUUAUUUCCAUUUAAAAAUGUACGAACUAGAAGAUUUUCCUAUCUGAGGGAACUACUCCAGGAUUGAAAAUUCAUGCAACCAUUGCUACUACCUGACCUGCUGUGAUGGUACGUAGGUUGCUGCCUUUGAAGACAUUGAUGGUUUAACUGCAGCUGAAGAAUAGUUGCAAACGGACGUGUAUGAAUGCCUAAGUAGUGGAGAGAAAGCAUCAUAAAGCCAUGGACAGUGGUUGAAUCAGCUUCUAGACUGGUCUGAAAACCCUAUUGUAGCCUGCAGACGGAUCAUCACAUUAUAGAAUUAUAAUUACUGCUGUAGGAGCUGUGCUGCUUGAAUCAGAGGCUCCAGAGUCUCCACAGCCCCACUUUGAUGCAGAUUCUUGCCCCGCAACCAUUCCUCCAGCUGACUGAUGUUAAACCUGGACCCAAACAACAAGCCACGAGUUACAAAAAAUGAAGUGUGUCAGACCUUGCAGCUUGCUUCUGCAAGUUGCUAAGAAAGUUUGA